UACGAAGGGUGCAAGCGUUAAUCGGAAUUACUGGGCGUAAAGCGUGCGUAGGCGGUUGGUUAAGUCUGUCGUGAAAGCCCUGGGCUCAACCUGGGAAUGGCGAUGGAAACUGGCCAGCUAGAGUGUGAUAGAGGAUGGCGGAAUUCCCGGUGUAGCGGUGAAAUGCGUAGAUAUUGGGGGGAACACCAGUGGCGAAGGCGGCUCACUGGACCGGAACUGACGCUGAGGCGCGAAAGCGUGGGGAGCAAACAGG
Molecule: ribosomal RNA, 253 nt
Filed under: uncultured bacterium
Lineage: Bacteria
Description: partial 16S ribosomal RNA
Rfam family: Bacterial small subunit ribosomal RNA
Source: RNAcentral